Molecule: long non-coding RNA, 1021 nt
Organism: Daphnia pulex (common water flea)
Lineage: Eukaryota; Metazoa; Arthropoda; Branchiopoda; Diplostraca; Daphniidae
Exons: 4
Source: RefSeq, a predicted model, not a curated record
AUUCUGUACAUUCCAAAAAACAUUCCAAAAUAAGAGAGAGAAACAUGUAAUCAAUAUUUUAUGAUUAUUUUUCCAACAGGAGGAAAUUCAAAUAAAAAUUUUCAAAAAAAUAUUUUUAUGAAAAAGAGAAAUACAAAAGAAGACAAUGGAGCAGAGCUCUCGUCGUAAAGAUGCCAAUCGGAAAUAACUCGUCGAUCAUCUGUUUAUAUGCGUAUGUAUAUAUCUUGUUACUCCUACUACUAAAUUAUAUAGUUUCUUCCUCUUUGUGUGUUACCACGUAUAAGGUGAUGAGGUUUCCCAGGGACGAAUAACAAGGACUUUAAGAGAAACUUCCAAAGUGUUUAUUCUUUUCAACCAACCCCCUUGGAAACCCCUGCCAGGAGGACGUAUGGAAAAGGGUUGGAAAAACCAAAAGGCGUUGAAACGAUUUCCACGUGAUUAUUAUUUCUUCCAGACGAGGACCAAAUAGGGCAAACAUUUAUUACAGUUGUACACAGCAAGUGUGUGUGCUGUAGACCCGACUUUGUGCAAGAGGACACCGGUAUGGAAUACACUACAAGAAAGGCUCAUCUUUCCUGCUGAUGGGGGGUCAAGGAAGACCGCCGAGCUUGGCUUUUUCUUUUUCCCCCUUCAUUUUUUGGACUAUAAAAAUUUUUUCGGGGGUGUAUAGAUGUAAACCAGAAAAAUUCGGUGUGACUGGGAAUGUUUUCACAAACAUCGUCCCAUGAGCAUCGUGUUCACUCCCAGCACCCAACAACCAAAUGAAAUCCAGCGCAGGAUUUUAUUUUUUUUUCAAAUUUUCGACAAAAAUAGACGGUGACUGAAUUUUGUGAUCGUGUUGAAAUCAUCGCUCAAAGAUGUGAUCUCAAUAGAUAAAAGAAAAAAAAGCUUUUGUGCUGGCCAACGGUGACGCACUGUGAUAAGCUAUUUGGUUACUAUUUGAACGACCCCGACACGGCCAGCAACAGCAAACAAGACGUGUGUAGGCGAAAGUGGACAAUGGAUUCCAUUGGGAAGAAAA